AUGAACGCUGGCGGCGUGCCUAAUACAUGCCAGUCGAGCGAACAGACGAGGAGCUUGCUCCUCUGACGUUAGCGGCGGACGGGUGAGUAACACGUGGAUAACCUACCUAUAAGACUGGGAUAACUUCGGGAAACCGGAGCUAAUACCGGAUAAUAUAUUGAACCGCAUGGUUCAAUAGUGAAAGACGGUUUUGCUGUCACUUAUAGAUGGAUCCGCGCCGCAUUAGCUAGUUGGUAAGGUAACGGCUUACCAAGGCAACGAUGCGUAGCCGACCUGAGAGGGUGAUCGGCCACACUGGAACUGAGACACGGUCCAGACUCCUACGGGAGGCAGCAGUAGGGAAUAUUCCGCAAUGGGCGAAAGCCUGACGGAGCAACGCCGCGUGAGUGAUGAAGGUCUUCGGAUCGUAAAACUCUGUUAUUAGGGAAGAACAAAUGUGUAAGUAACUAUGCACGUCUUGACGGUACCUAAUCAGAAAGCCACGGCUAACUACGUG
This 496-nucleotide ribosomal RNA is filed under the name uncultured bacterium. RNAcentral's name for it is "partial 16S ribosomal RNA". It matches the Rfam family "Bacterial small subunit ribosomal RNA", at positions 29 to 507 of the family's 1533-position model. The record is from RNAcentral.